GGGUAUUUACUGUUAGGUUAUAUUUUUUUUUCGUUUACAUUAUCUUUUUUCUUUCUUUUUGUUUCUUUUUGCAUCUUUUUGCCCCAUAAACACACACCAAAAUUUUUUCACACAUUUUUCACUUUUUGCACACACACACACAGAAUUUUGACUUAGCUUUUGCUCUACUCAGCAUAGAUAACAAGGUUAAAAGAGCUUCCUAUCUCAUGACCCCAUUGAUUUUCCACCCCUUUAAGCAUAAAUUGAAUCAAUUAUAGUGUGCUACCUUCACUUUG
Molecule: long non-coding RNA, 275 nt
Filed under: Manihot esculenta (cassava)
Lineage: Eukaryota; Viridiplantae; Streptophyta; Magnoliopsida; Malpighiales; Euphorbiaceae
Description: long non-coding RNA (MESC_LNC004155)
Source: RNAcentral